UAACAUAUUGAUAGGUAACUGAGUGACAGGUGAAUUUCCUUUAUGGUGUUGGACCUGUUCAUGUUUUCUGAAAGAUUCGUCAAUUCUCUGUGUUAAAUAAGAAACUUCUGGAUAUGUCAUUCUUCAUAUGUAUUCACCACUUUGAUUGCAUCUAUCACAGCCAUAACACCCAGAAUAUUGUUUAAGACAAUAACAAUCAAAACCUAGGAGUAAACAAAGUCUAACAAAACAAAGGACAUUUACAUCAACAGUUAUAAAUUAGAAACAACACGAACUCCACUCAAAAACCCCGACUACUGCUUUAAUGGUGUCAUCCCGAAGUCGGUGGGGUUACACCAGUUAUGCAGCAAUCAUUUUCUUCUACUUAUUCCAUGGUACACUGACUAGGACGAAAUACUUCGG
Molecule: long non-coding RNA, 402 nt
Filed under: Mytilus galloprovincialis (Mediterranean mussel)
Lineage: Eukaryota; Metazoa; Mollusca; Bivalvia; Mytilida; Mytilidae
Source: RNAcentral